Molecule: ribosomal RNA, 809 nt
Filed under: Candidatus Phytoplasma pruni
Lineage: Bacteria; Bacillati; Mycoplasmatota; Mollicutes; Acholeplasmatales; Acholeplasmataceae
Description: bacterial SSU rRNA
Rfam family: Bacterial small subunit ribosomal RNA
Source: RNAcentral
AUCUUCUUUGAAGGUAUGCUUAAGGAGGGGCUUGCGACACAUUAGUUAGUUGGCAGGGUAAAGGCCUACCAAGACUAUGAUGUGUAGCUGGACUGAGAGGUUGAACAGCCACAUUGGGACUGAGACACGGCCCAAACUCCUACGGGAGGCAGCAGUAGGGAAUUUUCGGCAAUGGAGGAAACUCUGACCGAGCAACGCCGCGUGAACGAUGAAGUACCUCGGUAUGUAAAGUUCUUUUAUUAAGGAAGAAAAAAGAGUGGAAAAACUCCCUUGACGGUACUUAAUGAAUAAGCCCCGGCUAAUUAUGUGCCAGCAGCCGCGGUAAUACAUAAGGGGCGAGCGUUAUCCGGAAUUAUUGGGCGUAAAGGGUGCGUAGGCGGUUUAAUAAGUCUAUAGUUUAAUUUCAGUGCUUAACGCUGUUGUGCUAUAGAAACUGUUUUACUAGAGUGAGAUAGAGGCAAGCGGAAUUCCAUGUGUAGCGGUAAAAUGCGUAAAUAUAUGGAGGAACACCAGAGGCGUAGGCGGCUUGCUGGGUCUUUACUGACGCUGAGGCACGAAAGCGUGGGGAGCAAACAGGAUUAGAUACCCUGGUAGUCCACGCCGUAAACGAUGAGUACUAAGUGUCGGGUAAAACUGGUACUGAAGUUAACACAUUAAGUACUCCGCCUGAGUAGUACGUACGCAAGUAUGAAACUUAAAGGAAUUGACGGGACUCCGCACAAGCGGUGGAUCAUGUUGUUUAAUUCGAAGAUACACGAAAAACCUUACCAGGUCUUGACAUUUUCUUGCGAAGUUAUAGAAAUAUAAUG